GAGAGCGCGUGCUUUGCAAGCAUGAGGUCGUCGGUUCGAUCCCGUCUGGCUCCACCAGAUGGUUUGAUCACCGAGAUCUUGACCGUCGUCCGCGAAACAUCACUUCGCAUCCUGCUAGUCUGGAUAGACAGCAGUUUGCGUGUUUUCUGACAUCGUAAAGAGGAGAUCGAUCCGAGUUGGGUCGUGCAGCAUAUCGUUGCGCGAGCCUUCAUUAUCUCCGGAUCAUUUCGGCGCUCGCUUCCAGCCGUGAGGUUGGAUGCGGGUUGUAAAUGAUCCUUUUAGCGAAGCUUGACCGCCUCGCUAUCGGAACGAUCUUACGAAGCAAGCUGGUCUUUCUAGUCAAUGUCCGGCUGCGGAUAGCGUUCAUCGAGGGCGCGUGCCGCAAGGCAAUUCUGCAGACAACAUUCUGCCGAGUGUGUGGACAUUGAUAAUGAGAGCAAUCAAGUGCCUUAAGGGUGUUCGGUGGAUGCCUUGGCGCUGAGAGGCGAUGAAGGACGUGCUACGCUGCGAUAAGCCGUGGGGAGCUGCGAAGAAGCUUUGAUCCGCGGAUUUCCGAAUGGGAAAAACCCGGAAAAG
This 576-nucleotide unclassified non-coding RNA is filed under the name uncultured Bradyrhizobium sp. RNAcentral describes it as "partial 16S-23S ribosomal RNA intergenic spacer". The stretch from base 439 to 576 matches the Rfam family "Bacterial large subunit ribosomal RNA", at positions 1 to 136 of the family's 2925-position model. The record is from RNAcentral. Lineage: Bacteria; Pseudomonadati; Pseudomonadota; Alphaproteobacteria; Hyphomicrobiales; Nitrobacteraceae.